Long non-coding RNA from Herpailurus yagouaroundi (jaguarundi), 836 nucleotides. RefSeq lists it as uncharacterized. The transcript has 3 exons. The record is from RefSeq and is a predicted model, not a curated record. NCBI's taxonomy places the organism in Eukaryota, Metazoa, Chordata, Mammalia, Carnivora, Felidae.
GGCCCUUGCCUGCGUGCUGUGGAGGCGCUUCUCCCCCAAGCCCGCAUCUGUGGCUGAGGCUUCCAAGUCUUGACAGAGUUGCUAAGAAACGGGAUAGUGCCCUCGGGGUAUAAAUGUGUGCUUCCCCAGGCAAAGAGGCGUCCCAAGCAUUUGAAGAGGGACACAGCUGCACCUAAAAACUAUGGCCGUUGCCAAACCCCGGAUGUAGCCGCAGUUUACCAAGAUUCAGAGGUCGUCACGAACUUCAAAAGUAGGCUGUUAGCUGAGAAGUUUUUAUAGGCCUGUGGCCUCUUAGUCUGUGGUCCAGGACUACUAGAAAAUGGAUGCAAGGCAUCUAAGUAACCGCUGGAAAUAAGAACCACGGAGUUGCCACUUCGGAGCUCCACCUCUGGGUUCCCUCUCGGCUACACGCACGAGGAGGGCAGCUUUCCCUCACAGACUCCCUAAGGCUCGAUCGGAAUUGCUGCCUCGUAGGGGCUGUGUAGGAAGACCUGGCCAGAGAAGCUGCUGCAGGAACAUUCUCCUACCUUCCGCCUCUGUUCUGCCUUGUUCUCUGCCUGUGAUCAGAAAGAAAGCCGACUCAGAAACCACUGAAUGUUGAGCUUCUCUGUCUCAUACUAGUCAGGAACUGGAGACCUCUCAGAGACCUUCUACAAAAGAAUGGAAACAGAACCCUCCUUCUUGGUCACUUUCCUGACUCCUGGCUGGGAUUUAGAGAAACCCUACAGAUCUUUCUCUGCAGCAGGGGAACGACAAACAUGGAUAUUUUCAAUGAGACAUAAUUUGAUGUCCAACCAGAAAAUGACAUACAAUUUACUAAUACCAAUUUUAGUCAC